RNAcentral lists this ribosomal RNA (427 nucleotides) under uncultured bacterium. RNAcentral's name for it is "partial 16S ribosomal RNA". It matches the Rfam family "Bacterial small subunit ribosomal RNA", at positions 355 to 774 of the family's 1533-position model. The record is from RNAcentral.
UGGGGAAUAUUGCACAAUGGGCGCAAGCCUGAUGCAGCCAUGCCGCGUGUAUGAAGAAGGCCUUCGGGUUGUAAAGUACUUUCAGCGGGGAGGAAGGCGAUAAGGUUAAUAACCUUGUCGAUUGACGUUACCCGCAGAAGAAGCACCGGUUAACUCCGUGCCAGCAGCCGCGGUAAUACGGAGGGUGCAAGCGUUAAUCGGAAUUACUGGGCGUAAAGCGCACGCAGGCGGUCUGGCAAGUCGGAUGUGAAAUCCCCGGGCUCAACCUGGGAACUGCAUUCGAAACUGGCAGGCUAGAGUCUUGUAGAGGGGGGUAGAAUUCCAGGUGUAGCGGUGAAAUGCGUAGAGAUCUGGAGGAAUACCGGUGGCGAAGGCGGCCCCCUGGACAAAGACUGACGCUCAGGUGCGAAAGCGUGGGGAGCAAACA